RNAcentral lists this long non-coding RNA (453 nucleotides) under Pavo cristatus (Indian peafowl). RNAcentral describes it as "lncRNA (ENSPSTG00000005275.1)". Lineage: Eukaryota; Metazoa; Chordata; Aves; Galliformes; Phasianidae. The record is from RNAcentral.
AGAAGGGGGAGGGAUGGCGAAUGUCUCCCUUCAGCAGGAGCAGGGGAGGUAGCUGCUGUAUCCCCAGACCUGCUGCCAGGUGUCUGACAAGUGCCUGAAACCCCUGCGUUAGCUCCAUGGCAGUGGACGUACAGCAACCCAUUGUGCUGAUGAGAAGAUCAGGUGUAGAGUGAUUGAGUGACUUGCCUACAGCCAUACAAAAAGUCUGCAUCAUUUCUUAAACCACUGCAGUUAUCAUCUUCCCUUCCUUUGGGAACAGAUGUGGACCAUGGUGUCUUGCUGCAGGCUGGAUUAGCAGUGAAGUACAUCAAUCCUUGGAUGUUGUGUUCCCUGUAUGAAAGGAUGGUAGGAAUGGCUCACAACUGAUCUGCUGGAAGAGAAACUUGGAGAUCUCUGUGAGAACUGAGGGUUACAGCAAAAGCAAUAACACAGGUUUCAUGUCUUAGAGUUUCC